AACGAACGCUGGCGGCAUGCCUAACACAUGCAAGUCGAACGAGACCUUCGGGUCUAGUGGCGCACGGGUGCGUAACGCGUGGGAACCUGCCCUUAGGUUCGGAAUAACUCCCCGAAAGGGGUGCUAAUACCGGAUAAUGUCUUCGGACCAAAGAUUUAUCGCCUUUGGAUGGGCCCGCGUUGGAUUAGCUAGUUGGUAGGGUAAAAGCCUACCAAGGCGACGAUCCAUAGCUGGUCUGAGAGGAUGAUCAGCCACACUGGGACUGAGACACGGCCCAGACUCCCACGGGAGGCAGCAGUUGGGAAUAUUGGACAAUGGGCGAAAGCCUGAUCCAGCAAUGCCGCGUGAGUGAUGAAGGCCUUAGGGUUGUAAAGCUCUUUUACCCGGGAUGAUAAUGACAGUACCGGGAGAAUAAGCUCCGGCUAACUCCGUG
Molecule: ribosomal RNA, 433 nt
Filed under: uncultured bacterium
Lineage: Bacteria
Description: partial 16S ribosomal RNA
Rfam family: Bacterial small subunit ribosomal RNA
Source: RNAcentral